Molecule: ribosomal RNA, 460 nt
Filed under: uncultured bacterium
Lineage: Bacteria
Description: partial 16S ribosomal RNA
Rfam family: Bacterial small subunit ribosomal RNA
Source: RNAcentral
CCUACGGGAGGCAGCAGUGAGGAAUAUUGGUCAAUGGGCGGGAGCCUGAACCAGCCAAGUAGCGUGAAGGAUGACUGCCCUAUGGGUUGUAAACUUCUUUUAUAAGGGAAUAAAGUGCGGCACGUGUGCGUUUUUGUAUGUACCUUAUGAAUAAGAAUCGGCUAAAUCCGUGCCAGCAGCCGCGGUAAUACGGGGAAUCCGAGCAUUAUCCGGAUUUAUUGGGGGGAAAGGGAAGGCAGGCGGUCUUUUAAGUGUGAUGGGAAAACCUUCGGCUAAACCGGCCUAGUGCCGUUGAAACUGGGGGACUUGAGUGUGCGAGAGGUAAGUGGAAUUCGUGGUGUAGCGGUGAAAUGCGUAGAUAUAACGAAGAACUCCAAUUGCGAAGGCAGUUCACCGGACCGCAACUGACGCUGAGGUUCGAAAGUGUGGGUAUCAAACAGGAUUAGAUACCCGAGUAGUC